Long non-coding RNA from Neodiprion fabricii, 383 nucleotides. RefSeq lists it as uncharacterized. The record is from RefSeq and is a predicted model, not a curated record. The transcript has 2 exons. NCBI's taxonomy places the organism in Eukaryota, Metazoa, Arthropoda, Insecta, Hymenoptera, Diprionidae.
UCUUUGUAAAAGAAUUCUAAGGCCCCAGCUUUGUGUAACGCAGAAUAGAACAUCAUGUUCCGAUUAAUAUUUGCCUUCGCUAUUAUCACCUUCGCCGCAGCAGCUCCGCAACUUUUAACGAUUGCUCUCCAGGGCAGACCGUUGUUGGAUCUCGAUUUGGCAAACUUAGGCCGUUGAAUGAUGGAAACUUGAUCGAAGCAUCUGCGUCGUCCCGUAUUCGUAACGCGAAUAUGAAAAGAUUUAACGAGAAUUUUGGUGAGGGGGAGAUAAUAAAAUGAUUCGAAGUAUCGCGUAAAUGUUUUUUUUGUUUUCAAAUCAAAGGAUCUUGUAUUAUAACAAUAAGAAAUGUAAAUUCUAUUAAUAAACUGCAGUGUGCUACGGAA